AUUUGCGCCGAAGGUAUACCGGUAAGGAGUGCUGGAGCGAAUAGAAGUGAGCAUGCAGGCAUGAGUAGCGAUAAUUAAUGUGAGAAUCAUUAACGCCGUAAACCCAAGGUUUCCUACGCGAUGCUCGUCAUCGUAGGGUUAGUCGGGUCCUAAGUCGAGUCCGAAAGGGGUAGACGAUGGCAAAUUGGUUAAUAUUCCAAUACCAACAUUAGUGUGCGAUGGAAGGACGCUUAGGGCUAAGGGGGCUAGCGGAUGGAAGUGCUAGUCUAAGGUCGUAGGAGGUUAUACAGGCAAAUCCGUAUAACAAUACUCCGAGAACUGAAAGGCUUUUUGAAGUCUUCGGAUGGAUAGAAGAACCCCUGAUGCCGUCGAGCCAAGAAAAGUUUCUAAGUUUAGCUAAUGUUGCCCGUACCGUAAACCGACACAGGUGGGUGGGAUGAGUAUUCUAAGGCGCGUGGAAGAACUCUCUUUAAGGAACUCUGCAAAAUAGCACCGUAUCUUCGGUAUAAGGUGUGGUUCGCUUCGUAUUAGGAUUUACUCCGAAAGCGAAGAAACUUACAACAAAGAGUCCCUCCCGACUGUUUACCAAAAACACAGCACUCUGCUAACUCGUAAGAGGAUGUAUAGGGUGUGACGCCUGCCCGGUGCUCGAAGGUUAAUUGAUGGGGUUAGCAUUAGCGAAGCUCUUGAUCGAAGCCCGAGUAAACGGCGGCCGUAACUAUAACGGUCCUAAGGUAGCGAAAUUCCUUGUCGGUUAAAUACCGACCUGCAUGAAUGGCGUAACGAGAUGGGAGCUGUCUCAAAGAGGGAUCCAGUGAAAUUGUAGUGGAGGUGAAAAUUCCUCCUACCCGCGGCAAGACGGAGAGACCCCGUGGACCUUUACUACAGCUUGACACUGCUAUUUGGAUAAGAAUGUGCAGGAUAGGUGGGAGGCUUUGAGUAUAUGACGCCAGUUGUAUAUGAGCCAUUGUUGAGAUACCACUCUUUCUUAUUUGGGUAGCUAACCAGCUUGAGUUAUCCUCAAGUGGGACAAUGUCUGGUGGGUAGUUUGACUGGGGCGGUCGCCUCCCAAAUAAUAACGGAGGCUUACAAAGGUUGGCUCAGAACGGUUGGAAAUCGUUCGUAGAGUAUAAAGGUAUAAGCCAGCUUAACUGCAAGACAUACAAGUCAAGCAGAGACGAAAGUCGGUCUUAGUGAUCCGGUGGUUCUGUGUGGAAGGGCCAUCGCUCAAAGGAUAAAAGGUACCCCGGGGAUAACAGGCUGAUCUCCCCCAAGAGCUCACAUCGACGGGGAGGUUUGGCACCUCGAUGUCGGCUCAUCGCAUCCUGGGGCUGGAGCAGGUCCCAAGGGUAUGGCUGUUCGCCAUUUAAAGCGGUACGCGAGCUGGGUUCAGAACGUCGUGAGACAGUUCGGUCCCUAUCUGCCGUGGGCGUAAGAAGAUUGAAGAGAUUUGACCCUAGUACGAGAGGACCGGGUUGAACAAACCACUGGUGUAGCUGUUGUUCUGCCAAGAGCAUCGCAGCGUAGCUAAGUUUGGAAAGGAUAAACGCUGAAAGCAUCUAAGCGUGAAGCCAACUCUAAGAUGAAUCUUCUCUAAGCUCUCUAGAAGACUACUAGUUUGAUAGGCUGGGUGUGUAAUGGAUGAAAGUCCUUUAGCUGACCAGUACUAAUAGAGCGUUUGGCUUAUCUUUAAUAAAGCAU
RNAcentral lists this ribosomal RNA (1701 nucleotides) under Campylobacter coli. RNAcentral's name for it is "partial 23S ribosomal RNA". It matches the Rfam family "Bacterial large subunit ribosomal RNA", at positions 1243 to 2925 of the family's 2925-position model. The record is from RNAcentral. Lineage: Bacteria; Pseudomonadati; Campylobacterota; Epsilonproteobacteria; Campylobacterales; Campylobacteraceae.